This is a non-coding RNA of Heterocephalus glaber (naked mole-rat), 1701 nucleotides long. The record is from RefSeq and is a predicted model, not a curated record. Lineage: Eukaryota; Metazoa; Chordata; Mammalia; Rodentia; Bathyergidae.
GAUCCCAAUAGAAUGCCCGGUGUGCCCGUGUCCAAAGACUCCGCAUUGCUCAGAGGUCAGAUCUCCCGAAUCAAUGAGCAGAAUCCAUGCAGCCAGAGCCCUGCUCCCAGCAGACAUUGCUGCAGAAGUUGCUGACCGCCAGUCGGACCGGUGAAUCGCACCCCUACUCGUGGACUUUUGGAUAGCAGGAAAGGUAUCCCACCUCCUCCCCAUGGGGAAGCUGCCUCAGCCAGCUGGUCCGCUUUCUCCCGAGGCACAAACCACAAAGCUCUGGAAAGCUGAGUCCUCCAGUCCCUGUUCAGUGUUUCUGCAUCCUGUCUCUGGUCAGGGAGACAUUGCUGCUGUGACCUGCCUCAGUGCUGAAGUUGCCCAGGGACCCACCUUUUCUGGAUUUUUGUGGACUCAGACCUUUAUCAUCAGAAGGAUUCCCUGGAUUUGCAGGGCAGAGGACGUGCAGGGUGUUAAAGACAGGCUCCUCAGUGAUCUCUCUCCAUCACUGUCUCCUCCACACACUCGCUGGCUAGGGUGGGUGCUGUGUGUGAGGUCCUGGGCUGGGGACUGUAGUAACUUGUUUCUAAAACGCUAAGUGUGUUUACAAAGGCAGAAAUCGCCUGGCGAGGGUGGAGAGGGGCCAGGAACCCUGUCAUUCCCUUGAUGGAAGAAGGUCUAGAGGCAAUGCUUUCCCCCUUGGGUGACAUCAAAGCAUGUCCCCAAGGGGCCAGCAGUGUGUGGCUUGGCUCCCUGCCCCAUGCCUGAGCUGCUCACAGAGAUUCCAUAGGCACAGCUGCUUCCCGGACAAAGGGAUGAUGUCCCACUGGGGACAGGGUGCUGGGGACUGUAGGCCUCGGGCCUGGUGGAGGAGCCAUGCCAGCUUCUCCGGGACAUACCCCAUGUGGGUGUUGCUAGAUCUUGAAUCCCAGCACAGUUUUUGGAAUGCAAAAUAUUUGUACAACAAAUUAAUUGUUAAUUAACAAAAUGAUAAGCAGAAAUCCACUUAAAAUGUGUGGGGCUGCCUCACUAACCCCGGAACACUAGACCUUGAGGAGCACUUGGAGCUGGGAAGUGGGAGGGGCUUCACCUCCAAGGGGAUUUAAGGGCUCCCCAAAACUCACUGAGCAAGAUUAACUCUCAUCCUUUAAUGUAAUACUUGAAGAAAAUCAAAGUUAAUGUGAAGAAUUCAUGACAACAAAAUAUCCAACUUGGACGUAAAGAUGGAAUUAGCAAUGGCACCAUCCAUCCUGGGCCCUACUGAAUCAGGGCGAAAAAAACCAAACCAACCCUAAAAUCAGUAAUUCUGACGCUCCCUCCACCCCAAGUUUUCACUCAAGGAAAAAUGGCUUCCACCCCAUCCUGGCCUUUAAGGCAGAUAAGAAAGGAUGCCCCCCAAAAACAUUGCUUAACACAGUGAGUGGCAGCAGUGGGGACUUUCUGACCCCAAAAGGUGGUGCAGAGGGACCUCUGGGUUUCCGUAAAUGCAAGAAUAGAUGGGGGCAGUGGCGUUAGGGGUGCUGGGUGCACACUUGUGAACUUUAGAGUUUCAGGUCACAGAAGGCAGAUCACAGAAGUAGAGGGAGGCCAAUAGAGCGGGAGCCCAGCCUGGGGACAGUCCUGACUUUAUGCAGGACAGCACGGGCCACCACUGGAAGGCAACCAAAGAGGAGCCGGGGCGGGGGGGGGGGCUGUUGCUGCUCCCAGCUCCCA